This 107-nucleotide small nuclear RNA is filed under the name Prolemur simus (greater bamboo lemur). The record is from RNAcentral. Lineage: Eukaryota; Metazoa; Chordata; Mammalia; Primates; Lemuridae.
AUACUCACUUCAGCAACACAUAUGUUGAAUUUGCAAUGAUACAGAGAAGAUUAGCAUGGCCCCUGCACAAGGAUGACAUGCAAAUUUGUGAAGUGUUCCAUAAAACA